CCUACGGGUGGCUGCAGUGAGGAAUAUUGCGCAAUGGAGGCAACUCUGACGCAGCCAUGCCGCGUGCAGGAAGAAGGCGCUACGCGUUGUAAACUGCUUUUAACCGGGAAGAAACCCCAGGACGUGUCCUGGGUUGACGGUACCGGAGGAAUAAGCACCGGCUAACUUCGUGCCAGCAGCCGCGGUAAUACGAAGGGUGCAGGCGUUAUCCGGAUUCAUUGGGUUUAAGGGGUGGGGUUAUGGGAGUGGUGAAAGCCUACAGCUCAACUGUAGAAUUGCCAUUGAUACUGGCGCGCUUGAGUGCGCUUGAAGUAGGCGGAAUGUGCCGUGUAGCGGUGAAAUGCUUAGAUAUGGCACAGAACACCAAUUGCGAAGGCAGCUUACUAAGGCGAUACUGACACUGAGGCACGAAAGCGUGGGGAUCGAACAGGAUUAGAUACCCCUGUAGUC
This 450-nucleotide ribosomal RNA is filed under the name uncultured bacterium. RNAcentral's name for it is "partial 16S ribosomal RNA". It matches the Rfam family "Bacterial small subunit ribosomal RNA", at positions 338 to 795 of the family's 1533-position model. The record is from RNAcentral.